UAUUCCUAUUUUUUCUAGAAUUUCCUAAUAGAUUGAAUUUAGAACGGUAUUUUAGUAAUUUCAAAAUAAAUCUGAAAAUUGAAUCAUAGUAAAAAAUAAAUAAAUAAAAGCCCUUAUUAGAUAUUAUCCUCAUUCACAUAGUUCCAUCCUUUUUUAUUUACUAGUAAAGAACCCGCGCUUCGCGGCGGAUAACCAAAUAAUGGUUAGUGUAUCUAAUUUCUUGUAUUAAAAUAAAAAUCAAAAAGUAAAUCUAAACAGAACUGAUAUAAUAAUUUGUUAAGCGAAUAACAAAGUGCUUACAAAACAAAUAUUAGAAGUAUAUAAAUAGAAAAUUUUAAAUUAUAUUUAACUACAUGCAGACAUGUUUAAAGUAGUUAGAUUAGUGGAUAACAAAGUGUCUAUUUAUAAAUAGAACUAUAUAAAUAGAACUGCAAUUCUUCAUUUCUGACUUCAUCUGCUUGAGGAGCUUCAUCAAACCUACAAAUCAACAAGAAUAAUAAUUAGAUAUGUUUUUUUGGUAUAAAUGAACAGCACGUGAUUAAAUACGACAAUUAAUUUACGUAAGACAAGUUGGGUCAAGUCGAUGUCUUUUGGCAGGUUGCAUUUCAGAUAAGUCCUCAGCAAGUUGUUCAGAACUGUUCAUAAAAAAAACACAUGAAAAAAUUUUAAAAAAUUACAUUCUCUCAAAAUAUUCUAAUAAUAGAAUUUAUAGCUGAAUUACCUAGUAUGAUGUCCAGAUCCCAAAAGCCAGUAAGUAUAGAAUGCAAAUUAAUUUGGAGAUAUAGCUAAGACAUUGCCAGUGUAUUAGUUUCAUCAAAAAAUGAGUUAUAGACAACGAAGUAAUACAUUUUUGUGUAGCAAUUUGCAAACAAAAGAGUCAAAUCUAAUCAGCUGUUUCAAUAGUUCAGACAUGCGCACGCACACACACAUGCAUCUCUCUCUCUCUCUCUCUCUCUAUAUCUAUACUAUUAUAUAAAAGCACGUAUAUUCAAAUUUGGGUCUGUCGACAGACCCAUAUUUCGGCGGGAAAAUUAGCGCCCAUUUUUCUCUUUCCGUACAAAAAAAAAUUUAAAUAUAAGAAUAAAAAUAGAAACCCUAAUGCAUACGUAUGUUCUCUAUAACCGAUUACUUAUAUUUUUCUAUUUUAUUUUAAAAUAUCUUUUUUAGGUAUUAUCUAUUUAAUUUUAAAAGUAAGUUUUCUAUAACAGAUUACGGGUGUGAAAAUCCUAUAAAAGAUAUUUUUCAAUUUAUUUUUAAAAUAUCUUUUUUUUGAUAUUUUUAGUAUGAAAAUCCUAUAAAAGAUAACGAAUUUUAUUUUUUCUUUUUUAUAUUAAUUUUCGAAUUUCAAAAUAUCUUUUCUUUUUAAGAUAACAGAUUUUAUUUUUCUAUUUAAUUUCAAAAUAUAUUUUUUUUUACAUUAAUUUCUGCUCAAAUGUAAUAUAUAAAUUUAACAAAUAUUUAUAAAUUUUUGAAUAAAUAUGAUUUACAAAUAUUUAUUGAUUUAAAAUAAAUUAAAAUAAUUGUUACGUGCAGUUGCACGUACACUCAACUAGUAUAUAUAUAUAUAUAUAUAUAUACUAGCGAUGUACCCGCGCUAACGCUACGGUCUACGGUGCACCAGGUGCACCGUAAAUAAUCGAAAGACACGUGGCAAUAUAUGAACCUAACUCCACGGACUUUAGUAUAUAGUAAUAGAUAGAUAUAAAAGAGCAACAAUUAACACACACAAAACAAAAACAAAAAACCUAAAUAAGCUGAGGCUCAGGUAUUAUUUCCAUCCAACCUUAAAAUAUAGGUUCAGGAGGAUACAAUGAAUAGGAAGAGUUGGUUGCCUAUAAAUUAGGCCAUCCAAAACCCUGUUCUCAUUUAACACAGCAAGCACAAUUGGAGAUUACACCCACCCUUAGGUAUCGUUUGGUUCGGGGAUAAGCCAAAAGUGACUAUUUCAGGAAUAGAUAUAAAUUGAGGCAUAAGUGGGGAUUAGAUCAAUUUUGCGUUUGGACGAAAAUUUGGUUAUUCCUGGAAAUAAAACAAAUAGCGUUUGGUUAAAUAAGAUGGAAUAAGAAGGAUAGGCUGAGAAGGAUUUAAUGAAUAGGAAGAGUUGGUUGUCUAUAAAUUAGACCAUCCGAAACUCAUUCCUCUAUUUUUCAAUCACCAUAGCCUCAAAGACAGUAGUCAGGAGAAUUAGAGAAAAUAACGAAUUCCAAGAGUUGAUUGCCUGGAAAUUAAAACAUCCAAAACUCUUCCCUCAUUUUUGCAGUCAUUACUGCAGCAAAGACAACAGUUAGCAUGAUUGGAAAUUAGAGAACCCAAAAUUCAUCCGUCGUUUUGUUAGUAGUGUAAAAACAAAACACACACCACACACACACCAUGUAAGGGCUGAAUCUAAUUAGUUACUUUCUUCUCUUUUUUUUUUGAGAAAGAGGUAGCAAGCUACCUGCUUCAUUCAUUAAGCGAAAUAAAUUUAGCGUACAUAAUGGAGACAGCUAAGGCCUCCUACAGAAACCGGCAAAACAACAAAAAAAAUAAUAAAAAGCAGUAUAGAUAUGUAAACAAAAGCCCGACUUGAGCUAUUAAAGAGCAGUUACGGGACAAUCGCCUCGGUCCAAGUCUUCGUUAGCGCAGCUAUCCGUCCAAUUGCACGGGUAGCGUUCGGAGUGUCCUCGUUGAAGACGAUCUUGUUGUGCUCCAUCCAAACUACCCACCAGAUUGCCGCCAACCGUGUGAACCUUAUCGAUCUUUGUUCAGCAUUAGGGGAGUCCGCAGUGUCGGUCCCAAGUUGCUUAACGUCCCCUGUUCUUAAAUCGCUGACACCCAAUCCAUCAACGCUAAUUUGGAGGUAUCUAACAAAAACGCAAUCCUUGAAAAGGUGAUCGCAAUUCUCAGGUGAGAAUGAAUAGAAAAUGCAGUACUCAUUCACCGGGCACCCUCUGCGUAUCAGUCUAUCAGCGGUAAGUAAUCUCUUGCGUAGUAGGAUCCAGAUGAAUAUUUUGNUCGCAGGUUUUCUCCUAAUUCAAUUUCCAAGUCCAACAUGUAUAACCUACUUAAUUUAUUACCACAUGCUCCAAAUUCAGAUUUGCAAUCUACAAUAUAAUCCAUGAAUUCGAGCUAGAAUAGAGUAUCCAAAAGUCGAAAAUAUACAUGCUGACGAAUAUGAACUUAGGAGUAAAAACCGAUGUAACCCACCUCGACAGCGACCCACGCACCGGCGCGACGUCGAGAACGACGAAAAUGCACCCUCGCCCGGCCUCCAACGGCACUACCACGACGCACGCACGCUCCAACGGCUCGCAGGCGCGAAGUUGACGUCGCUCCAAUCUCCAACUAUAGCCUCCACGAGUUCUCCACUUCCAACUAGAGAGAGAGGGAAAUUACAAAUCACCACUAUCCCUCUGUAGGCCACAAGAUAAGGAUGCAUAGGGGGUGCACGUGGCAUCCAAAGCCACCCCCAUGCAUCACCAACCGACUAAAAAAAUUUUAAAAAAUAAAUAAAUAAACAAGGGUACUACAUAAAGAGACUUAGAUAAAUAGUCAAGCUGCAAAUAAAGGCUGAAUAGAGGAGCACACCUUUCUGUAACCAUUUUGCAAACAAAGGGUUGAAUCUAAUUAGUUACUUUCAUAGUUCAUUUAACACACACACAUAUAUUUAAGUAUCUAGCUAAUUAGUUACAUUCAUGAUCAUAUAUAUAUAUAUAUAUAUAUAUAUAUAUAUGUAUACACACACACACACCACACACACACACAGAGGUGUAUACAUAUAGAGUUGAGCUGGAAUGCUAUCGGUAGCAAACGGGCUCCGUUGCCACCCAUUGUUUUCGAUGAUAGAGCUUUCAAAUCGACGAUCGGCACCGUUGAACAUGAUCUAUAUCACUUGUAGUAUUUAGAAAUUAAAUUUCAAAUCUUUUCGACAUCAUUUACCUAAUGAUCAAAGGGUUUCAAAAUUAGUAAUUUUAAUGGUUGAUAUGAGGGGUUUUCUCGUUUAACGGUGUAAAGCUAUUCAAAUCAAUUGAAUUUUGGUUAGAAAAUUCUUUAAACUAUUUAGAACAAGAUCUAUACUCUCGAUCAUGAUUACAAAAUUUCUAUCAUCACUUUUUAGAGGAUAUUCAUUUUCAGCCAUUCAUUUUUACACCCACUUGAUGGACAAGAAAACAAUAUCGGAAAAGUAUGAAAUUUGAUUUCUAGAUACUUCAAGUGGUAUAGAUCAUUUUCAACGGUACCGAUCGUCGAUUUGGAGGCUCCAUUAUCGAAAAAAAAUGGGUGGCAACGGAGCCCGUUUGCUACUGAUAGCAUUCCAGCUCAACUCUAUAUAUAUAUAUAUAUAUAUAUAUAUAUNNNNNNNNNUAUAUAUAUAAAUAUAUAUAUAUAUAUAUAUAUAUAUAUAUAUAUAUAUAUAUAUAUCUCAGGCCGAUGAUAUGAUAGAUAUCAUGCCCUCGAGGGCAUGAUAUCAUAACAAAAGCUAGAAGCCCGCAAGUUUAGUUGCUAGGUGUGGCAAUUUUAACUAGAUCCCAUAAAUUUCAAAAAUCUUUAUUUUAAAAUAUAAAAAAGCUGUAUCAAAUGAAAUACUAGUUUUGUAAAGUUUUAACAGUUUAAAGUUACCGAUAAUACUGCUCAAACCUCAAAUUGCCACAUCUUCUUAGAUUUAAAGAAGUUUAAAACUAUCUUUUAAGAAAUUUGAUAUAUCUAAUUCCAAUUGUAAGAACUAGAACUUAAAUUUUCAGGAUACGAGUUUAAAAUUUCUCAUAAGUUAAGGGUGGCAGAUAAAACUGUAUUAAAUAAAUGAUUCAUUUGCUAUAGCUUUUCUUGAUUUUAAAAUAAGGACUCUUGAAGUAUAUGGGAUCUAGUAUAAAUUGCCACACCUAGCAACUAAACUUGCGGGAUUCUAGCUUUUGUUGUGAUAUCAUGCCCUCGAGGGCAUGAUAUCUAUCAUAUCAUCGGAUUAAGUAUAUAUAUAUAUGUAUAUAUAUAUAUAUAUAUAUAUAUAUAUAUAUAUAUAUCUCAUUCCGAUGAUAGGAUAAUCAUCCUAACCCUGGGAACAGGAUAGUUCAGCUAAACUAACUAGCCUUGAAGUUUAACUAUUAGCCGUGGCAACUUUAACUAGAUGUAUUAAUCUUUACAAAUCUUUGGUUUAAAACAUUAUAAAUUUUUAAUAAUAGUUCAAGUAGAAUUUUCAACUUUUUACUUGCCAGUAUUUACUUAUUGGAAGAAUUUUAUCUCCAAUCUGAAAGAGUUGAAUAUUAGUCUCAAUAGUUUGUAAUAGAUUUAUCAUAUUUCUUAAAAGAUAUUUUUUAAGUUCCUUAAACCUAAUGAGAUGUGGCAAUUUGUUCGUAUACCGAGUAUAUCCGGCAGUUUUUAACAGCUAAAAUGUUGUGAAACUAGUGGUACAUUUAUUAAAAAUUUUAAAUACUUUAAAUCAAAGAUCUAUAAAGUUUAUGAGAUCUAGUUGAAGUUGCUGAGGCUAGUAGCUAAGCCUUAGGGAUAGCAGUUCUUGUUAAACUAUCCUGUUCAUGAUGAUAGGAUAAUUAUCCUAUCAUCGGGAUCGUAUAUAUAUAUAUAUAUAUAUAUAUAUAUAUAGAGUUGGACUGGGCUACUAUUAGUUGCAAAAUUCUAUUGUUGUUACCAGUUUUUUAGCCUUUGGAUCAACUCUUUUCAUCAUUUGGGACCAUUCAACCCUAGGGGGACCACUCAACUCUAAACUGACUAAUAUCAUCUUAAUCCUACAAUUUUUCAUCCAAGGGUUAAAAACUUGAUAGCAAAAAGAGGGUUUUACUAUUAACAGUAUUCCAGUCUAAUUCUAUGUAUAAAAGUAUAGAUGCAACCUAAUUUGCUUAAAUAUAGACCGAGAAGGAAACAAUGUAUACCAAGAGUUGUUUGACUAUAAAUCACACCAUCCAAAACGCAUUACCUCGUUUUUUCUAUCAUUACAUGAAGCAAUUUGUUCCAGAUUUCAUCACCGUGUAAUUAAGUUCGUGCAAGGGAUAAGCAAUUUCAUAAAGAGCGCCGACAGACAUAGUCAGGUAACAUAUAAGUGCCCUGCAGCCUGCAUAGUGCCUUAAAGACAGCAGCCAGCAGAAGUGGAGUGAAGAAAAUAUAUUCCAAAUUUCGUCAUUGUGUAAUUAAGAUUGCGUAUGGGAUAAGCAAUUUCAUAAAGAGUGCUGACAGACUUAGCCAAGGAACAUAUAAGUGCCCCGCAAUUUGCAAGGGAAGACUAAAACCCAUCCUCUUAAGUGUAGGUAAGUAGCAAAAAACAAAAGGAUGAUAAAGAAAACAGGGAAGUUGCAAGCAGUAUAGGCGUGCACACACACACUCACAUAUAAGUAUAGAAUGCAGCCUUAUUUAGGGAUGUUAAUGGAUAUGGAUAUCCGAAAUUUUAUCCGAACCCGAACCGAAUAAAACGGAUAUAUCCGAUGAAUAUGGAUAUAAAAAAUAAAAAUCCGACGGAUAUGGAUUUUGAUUGUACCCGACCCGAAUCCGAACCCGACCCGAAACCAAAUUUAUUUUAUAUUAUAUAUAAUAUAUAUAUAAAAAUUUGAUGUUAUAAUUGAAUUUGUAUUUUAAAAAUUUAGAUUUAAUAUAAUAUAUUUUGAAAUAUUAAAAAAAAAAUAAUUAUUUCGGGUUCAAAUUUCGGGUUCGGGUUCGGGUUCGGGUUCGGGUUUCGGAUUUUUGGUCGAGUUCGGGUUUGGAUAUGGAUUUUUAAAAUCCGUCGGGUUCGGGUUCGGGUUCGGGUUCGGGUCUUGGGUUUGGAGUCGGGUUCGGGUUCGGGUUUUUAAAAAUCCGACCUGUUGACAUCUCUAGCCUUAUUUGAGACUUAGAUAAAAAGUCAAGUUGCAAAUAAGGAGAAAAUGAAGGAGCAAACUUUUUCUGCAGUAAUUUGCAAAUAAAAGGCUGUAUCUAAUGAAGCACCAAAGGAGGAGCUGAUAGCGGUUGCCCGCAAGCGGGGCCGUCCAAAUCUGCUCGGCAAUGGCAAAGCCUUUGUCUCACUUGCAUAUCACCGGGGCCAAAAAAAAUUUUAAAAAAGCCACCAAUAAUUUUAAAAAAAGGAACGAAAGCAUAAGACAUCUCCACCAAUAAUUAUAAAUUGUAUAGAUUAUCCCACCUUUAUAUUUGAGAACAAAAACAAACUAUACUGUUCUAAAAAGCUUAACCUAUUUAUAGAAAAAUUAUAGAAGGUCAGAAGAGAAGAGAAGAGGAAGACUUAAGACAUCUCCACCAUCUCUCUCAGUAGAUUCAAAAAAUUAAGAAAAAAUAUAGCUAUCACAUCGUUACUGUCGAAUCAGUGGGCUGGCAAAGCCCUCGGCGAGCGUAGCAACCGGGACGAACGGAUCGGCCAAGUAGGGUAGGUGUAGGAGGCCCUAAUCAUGAUGUCUACCGAUGGACAGCUCAGGCAUCGGAGGAGCGGAUGGAGGAGAGGAUGGAGGUGAGAGAGGAGAGAGAGAGAGAGAGAGAGGUGCUUUGGGCAUCGGAGGAGGCACGCGCAAGGAUCGCGCGGAGGGGAAGGGGAAGAGAGCCAUCCGAUCAACAAAAUGGAGGGUGUAGAUUCA
RNAcentral lists this long non-coding RNA (7538 nucleotides) under Ananas comosus (pineapple). RNAcentral describes it as "long non-coding RNA (ACOM_LNC009661)". Lineage: Eukaryota; Viridiplantae; Streptophyta; Magnoliopsida; Poales; Bromeliaceae. The record is from RNAcentral.